UCCGGCUUGUCACCGGCGGUUUCUUUAGAGUGCCCGGCCUGACCCGGGGGCAACUAAAGAUGAGGGUUGCGCUCGUUGCGGGACUUAACCCAACAUCUCACGACACGAGCUGACGACAGCCAUGCAGCACCUGUGUUGAAGCCGGCCGAACCGAAGGACUAUCUCUCGAUAAUCCAUACUUCACAUGUCAAGGACUGGUAAGGUUCUUCGCGUUGCGUCGAAUUAAACCACAUACUCCACCGCUUGUGCGGGCCCCCGUCAAUUCAUUUGAGUUUCAACCUUGCGGCCGUACUCCCCAGGCGGCAUGCUUAGUGCGUUAGCUGCGACACUGAGAACCUGAGGUUCCCAACGUCUAGCAUGCAUCGUUUACGGCGUGGACUAC
RNAcentral lists this unclassified non-coding RNA (382 nucleotides) under uncultured Rhodospirillales bacterium. Its description in RNAcentral is "contains 16S-23S intergenic spacer region". The record is from RNAcentral. Lineage: Bacteria; Pseudomonadati; Pseudomonadota; Alphaproteobacteria; Rhodospirillales.